Molecule: small nuclear RNA, 234 nt
Filed under: Castor canadensis (American beaver)
Lineage: Eukaryota; Metazoa; Chordata; Mammalia; Rodentia; Castoridae
Description: 7SK RNA (ENSCCNG00000004139.1)
Rfam family: 7SK RNA
About the family: 7SK was discovered as an abundant small nuclear RNA in the mid-70s but a possible function has only recently been suggested.
Source: RNAcentral
GAAUGACCAGUCUUUGGCAACCGCUCCAUGUACAUCCCUCCCAGAGUUGCGCUCUCAGUCUAAGAGGACAACCAUCCCGGAUAGAGGGGGACCAUUCUUCCUUCAAGGGUAUAGGAGUAGCUGCGCUCCCCUGCUCGAACCUCCAAAUAAGCUCUCAAGACUGGUAAUUCAGCCACAAAGUAAGUAUCUUCCAGAUUCAGCCACAAAGAAGUUAACUCAUUUUUGCUAACAUUU